This 1172-nucleotide ribosomal RNA is filed under the name Urothemis assignata. Its description in RNAcentral is "partial 16S ribosomal RNA". The record is from RNAcentral. Lineage: Eukaryota; Metazoa; Arthropoda; Insecta; Odonata; Libellulidae.
AUAAUUAAAAUCUUACUUAUUUUAUUUUUUUGUUUUAGAAGAAAUAUCUUUUUAUUAAGUAUAAUUAAUGAACAAUUUUUUUUGUUAUAGUGAAUUAGUACUGUGAAGGAAUAGAUGAAAUAAAUUAAAAUUUAUUUUUAAUAAGUAUGUUUAAUUUGCAGUACCUUUUGUAUCAGGGUUAAUCAAUUAUAUUAAUUUAUUUUUAAUUCUCGAUUUUAGAGGAGCUAUUUUAUUAUUUUAGUUAAUGUUUCAUAAUUAUUAAUAAUAUAAUUUAGAGGAGAAAUUUUAUUCGGCUCUAAAGGUAUCUAGUUUUUUAAGAAAUAAAUUUAAUUUAGUUUUGUCAUUUAAAUUUUAUAUUUAUAUUAUACUUUAUUUGACAAGUUAAAUAUUAUAGGGGAUAAGCUCUAUUUUAUUCCAUAAAAUUUAUAAUUAAUUUAUUGCAGUAGGUUUAAAAUUAUCCAUCUUUAUUAAGCGUGUUAUAAUUUAUUUUUUUUAUUAAUUAAUUUUUUUCUUUUUAGUUAACUUAUUAAAAAAUUAUAAUUAAUAAUAUAUUAUAAGUAAUAAUGAUUGAAUUAGUAUAAAAUUGUGUUUAUAUAGUUGUUAUAUAAAUAAUAAAGUAAGGAACUCGGCAAUUAUAGUUCUCGCCUGUUUAACAAAAACAUGUCCUUUUGGUUUUAUUGAAGGUCUGACCUGCCCAGUGAUUAAAGUUUUAACGGCCGCGGUAUACUGACCGUGCAAAGGUAGCAUAAUCAUUAGUCUUUUAAUAGAGGGCUGGAAUGAAAGGUUUGACGAGGAACUGACUGUCUCACUUUAUUUGUUUUAAAAUUUAAUUUUUUAGUUAAAAAGCUAAAAUUUGAUUGGAAGACGAGAAGACCCUAUAGAUCUUUAUACAUUUUAUGUAAUUGUUUUUAUAUUAUUAUUUUAUAUUAAAAUUGUAUUUUGUUGGGGUGACAAAAAUAUAUAAUUAACUUUUUUAUCAUCAUUACAUUUAUAUAUGAAUAUUAGAUCCAUUAUUAUUGAUUAUUAGAAUAAGUUACCUUAGGGAUAACAGCGUAAUCUUCCUCCAGAGUUCAUAUUUACAGGAAGGCUUGCGACCUCGAUGUUGGAUUAAGAUAAUAAUUAGGUGUACCCGCUUAAUUCAUGGGUCUGUUCGACCUUUAAACCUUACAAAA